This 1166-nucleotide long non-coding RNA is filed under the name Mytilus galloprovincialis (Mediterranean mussel). The record is from RNAcentral. Lineage: Eukaryota; Metazoa; Mollusca; Bivalvia; Mytilida; Mytilidae.
CAAUUUAUAAAACAUGUAAGCGGGAAAGUGGUGUAUCAUUACAACAUAAGAACGAACUAUUAAAAUCAGUUGAAAAGGCUUAACUCAUCAGAUGAAUACAAUCAGAAAUACUACACAGAGUCAACGUGGCCGGGUACUUGUAUAUCCCAUGCCACAACCAAAAAAAAUCACUAAGUUCAGAAUACACAUUUGAAAAAAAGAAGAGAAAAACAAACACAAUAAAGAUUUCAAAAUACAUACUCACUAUGACAAGAAAAAAUAAACAAACAAAUUAAUAAAUACGAGAAAACAGUAAAAGAAAAAUAAUACCCGACAAUUGACAAAAUAAUCCCAGAUUUACUAACUCAAAGAAAGCAGUUUUUCAAUAAAACAUUUUGUUCAAAGCAAAAGUAGAAGCACAUACAACUCAAAGAUAUUGUGUUGUGCAAGUUAUUAUCUUUUUCUCAACAAAAAUUGUGCAAGUAAUUACUGAUACAAUUAUAUUGUAUGAAGUAAUAACCUGUACAAAAUAAGAAAAUGUACACGACAAAUACAUGUACAUCCAAAGAGUAAAGAAUUAAAGAUUACUGAUGAAUUUAUUUAUACUUUUUGUAUUCAAUGUUAAUGACAAUUUAGCUCGCGUAAAUACGUUGUGUGUUAGUCGUAUUUCACUUGGUAUUAAGUUUCACUGGUGUCAACGUGAUAAUCGUACAUUGUAACUGCAAAUACGAUCAUCCCAAUAUGGCGGACACAAAUUUAGGGAAAUUUUAGACGGCUAAUGUCUCCACUUUAACAGCUUAUUUUUAGAUUUGUAUUAUGUCAAGAAACAUCUUUAUAAGCAUUUCCAUUGAAAUAUUUUUUCGAACAGGAUGGAAAAGCAACAAGAAGAAUGAAAAUCUAGGUACAAAAAAUCUCGAUGACGAGGAUAACUUUGAUUUAUUUUUAUCAACGAUGAUCGUAACUUUUACUUAAGAUGAUCGUAACUGUUUGUUCAAACGAAGCAUUUUCUGAUAAAUAAAGCUGUCGGGUAUGCAAUAAAGUGUACAUUAUCAACUAACCUUGUGAUAAUGAUGAGAAACGAUCACUGAGGGGAGGGUAACGUCAUAUUGGUAAUUGCAGAAAUGGUUAUGAUUUUGAGAGAUUUCGUACUUAUUUUUAUCUAUUUCAAUAUUAAAAUGCAUUGGGGG